RNAcentral lists this ribosomal RNA (366 nucleotides) under uncultured organism. RNAcentral describes it as "bacterial SSU rRNA". It matches the Rfam family "Bacterial small subunit ribosomal RNA", at positions 526 to 896 of the family's 1533-position model. The record is from RNAcentral.
CGGAGGAUCCAAGCGUUAUCCGGAAUCAUUGGGUUUAAAGGGUCCGUAGGCGGGUUUAUAAGUCAGUGGUGAAAGCCUAUCGCUCAACGAUGGAACGGCCAUUGAUACUGUAGAUCUUGAAUUAUUAGGAAGUAACUAGAAUAUGUAGUGUAGCGGUGAAAUGCUUAGAGAUUACAUGGAAUACCGAUUGCGAAGGCAGGUUACUACUAAUGGAUUGACGCUGAUGGACGAAAGCGUGGGUAGCGAACAGGAUUAGAUACCCUGGUAGUCCACGCCGUAAACGAUGGAUACUAGCUGUUCGGAGCAAUCUGAGUGGCUAAGCGAAAGUGAUAAGUAUCCCACCUGGGGAGUACGUUCGCAAGAAUG